This 19-nucleotide microRNA is filed under the name Macaca fascicularis (crab-eating macaque). RNAcentral describes it as "novel_miR31-3p". The record is from RNAcentral. Lineage: Eukaryota; Metazoa; Chordata; Mammalia; Primates; Cercopithecidae.
UCACUACUCCUGUCCCCCC